UACGUAGGGGCCGAGCGUUGUCCGGAGUUAUUGGGCGUAAAGCGCGCGCAGGCGGCUUCGCGCGCCCGACGUGAAAGCCCCCGGCUUAACCGGGGAGAGUCGUUGGGGACGGCGGAGCUUGAGGGCGGGAGAGGUCGGUGGAAUUCCCGGUGUAGUGGUGAAAUGCGAAGAGAUCGGGAGGAACACCUGUGGCGAAGGCGGCCGACUGGGCCGACCCUGACGCUGAGGCGCGAAGGCGUGGGGAGCGAACGGG
RNAcentral lists this ribosomal RNA (253 nucleotides) under uncultured bacterium. RNAcentral's name for it is "partial 16S ribosomal RNA". It matches the Rfam family "Bacterial small subunit ribosomal RNA", at positions 524 to 776 of the family's 1533-position model. The record is from RNAcentral.